CUGUAAAGGUACUCUCUCUCCUUGUAUUUGUUUGAGAAUUAUAGAGUGUUACAAAAACCCCAAUAUCACUACAAAACACCUUUAUUAUUAGAAUCCAAAUCAAUUCAACUUCUUUUUAUUGCAAGAAAAUAACCAGUGAAGCUCACGUUGUAGCGUUUUUUGUCAUGUCUCUAUUUCAUCGUCCUUUAAUGCCCUUCUGAAGCAAGGGAUUCAAAUAUCUUGCAGCCCCUUUCUUCCACCACCUCUGCCACUGUAACUUCAAGCCUCGAAUCCACCAUGCUUGUAGAGUAUUCUUUUUUAGUGUAGUGUAGCCCAACCAUAGGCCCUUCUAAAAGUAUGUUUCCUCACCAAUGACCUGCAUUCGUACUUUGCCCAUGAAGCCUAAACAACAGUCUAUUCAUCCAUUCCGUGCACUUGAGAAUUCCCCCUUUGUCCGAGGAGAUCUAAGAAACCUUCCACUUUCAUCUACCCCAUAAUCUCCAACCACAAUUCAUAAAGACAAAUAUGUAAUGGAAGCCAGCUUUUGUAAACAAGAAAUAACCCCUUCUCAAUAUAGGGAACACAACACUUUCUCCACCCUUUAAAUAAAAAUUUGGCUCCCCUAUCAUCCACAAGCUUAAUCAGAUCUGAAGAGCUCAUUUCCAGACUCACAUCCAACCCCAAGUCUAUAAUGCAUAACUAGUGGAAAUAAAAAGGGAAACUGUGUUAUACAAUAGAAAAUGGGACAUGAAAAACUGUCAAAUGCUUAAAAUUAAAAGCAUAAUUGGAAACUUCAGUAUACUAUUGAAGUUUUAGAGUAUAUAACGAGAAACGCGUCCAUCUUUUUUUUUUUAUAUUUCUUGUCUAUUAUUGACUGUACAUUUUUUGCCGAAAAAAUGCAUAGAUUAAAC
RNAcentral lists this long non-coding RNA (890 nucleotides) under Amborella trichopoda. RNAcentral describes it as "long non-coding RNA (ATRI_LNC005052)". Lineage: Eukaryota; Viridiplantae; Streptophyta; Magnoliopsida; Amborellales; Amborellaceae. The record is from RNAcentral.